This 1714-nucleotide ribosomal RNA is filed under the name human gut metagenome. Its description in RNAcentral is "bacterial LSU rRNA". It matches the Rfam family "Bacterial large subunit ribosomal RNA", at positions 1131 to 2925 of the family's 2925-position model. The record is from RNAcentral.
UGCGUAAUAGCUCACUGGUCGAGUGACCCUGCGCCGAAAAUUCAACGGGGCUAAACAAUGUACCGAAGCUUGGGAUUCUAAAGUAAUUUAGAGUGGUAGGAGAGCGUCGAAUAAGGGGUGAAGUCAGAGCGGAAGCGCUGGUGGACUUUAUUCGAGUGAGAAUGCCGGAAUGAGUAGCGAGAAUUAUGUGAGAAUCAUAAUGGCCGAAAGCCUAAGGUUUUUGGAGGAAGGUUCGUCCGCUCCAAGUAAGUCGGAAGCUAAGGUGAGGCUGAAAAGCGUAGCCGAUGCACAAACGGUUGAAAUUCCGUUACCACAGAAAGAUUUAAACUAAGGGACACUUUUGAAGAGCUGAUGCCGGGUGUUGGUUACCCCGGUCGUAAGGGAACGAAAUUAAGUAGUGAAGUCAGCGUGGAUGAAGGCGAGAAAAGCUUAGUGUAUAUCUUAUGUGUCCGUACCGCAAACCGACACAGGUAGGUAGGAAGAGAAUUCUAAGGCCAACGGGAGAAGGGUAGUUAAGGAACUCGGCAAAAUGUCCCCGUAACUUCGGAAUAAGGGGAGGUUUCUACGGAAACCCGCAGAGAAUAGUCCCAGGCAACUGUUUAUCAAAAACACAGCUCUAUGCUAAAUCGAAAGAUGACGUAUAUGGGGUGACGCCUGCCCGGUGCCGGAAGGUUAAGAGGAGGAGUGAGAGCCCUGAAUCGAAGCCCCGGUAAACGGCGGCCGUAACUAUAACGGUCCUAAGGUAGCGAAAUUCCUUGUCAGGUAAGUUCUGACCCGCACGAAUGGCGUAAUGAUUUGGGCACUGUCUCGACAGCCCGCCCGGCGAAAUUGUAGUACUGGUGAAGAUGCCAGUUACCCGCAACUAGACGGAAAGACCCCAUGGAGCUUUACUGCAGUUUAAUACUGGGAAUCGGUAAUGCAUGUACAGGAUAGGUGGGAGACUAGGAAGCAUGGUCGUCAGGUCAUGUGGAGUCACCGGUGGGAUACCACUCUUGUAUUGCUGAUUUCCUAACCUGCGGCCGUGAAUCCGGUCGGGGGACACUGUUAGACGGGCAGUUUGACUGGGGCGGUCGCCUCCAAAAGAGUAACGGAGGCGCUCAAAGGUUCGCUCAGCAUGGACGGAAACCAUGCUAUUGAGUGUAAACGCAAAAGCGAGCCUAACUGCGAGACUGACGGGUCGAGCAGUAACGAAAGUUGGAGUUAGUGAUCCGGUGGUAUGUGAGUGGAAAUGCCAUCGCUCAACGGAUAAAAGCUACCCUGGGGAUAACAGGCUGAUCUCCCCCAAGCGUCCACAGCGACGGGGAGGUUUGGCACCUCGAUGUCGGCUCGUCACAUCCUGGGGCUGAAUUCGGUCCCAAGGGUUCGGCUGUUCGCCGAUUAAAGUGGCACGCGAGCUGGGUUCAGAACGUCGUGAGACAGUUCGGUCCCUAUCUGUUGCGGGCGUAAGAGAUUUGAAGGGAGCUGUCCUUAGUACGAGAGGACCGGGAUGGACGUACCUCUGGUGCACCAGUUGUCCUGCCAAGGGCAUAGCUGGGUAGCUAUGUACGGACGAGAUAAACGCUGAAAGCAUCUAAGCGUGAAACUCCCCCUAAGAUGAGAUCUCUCAUCCUUUAAGGAGUAAGGACCCAGAAAGACGAUCUGGUUGAUAGGCCGAAGGUGGAAGCGCAGUAAUGUGUGCAGCUGAUCGGUACUAAUAGUCCGAGGGCUUGACCUA